RNAcentral lists this ribosomal RNA (497 nucleotides) under uncultured bacterium. RNAcentral describes it as "partial 16S ribosomal RNA". It matches the Rfam family "Bacterial small subunit ribosomal RNA", at positions 28 to 507 of the family's 1533-position model. The record is from RNAcentral.
GAUGAACGCUGGCGGCGUGCCUAAUACAUGCAAGUCGAGCGAACGGACGAGAAGCUUGCUUCUCUGAUGUUAGCGGCGGACGGGUGAGUAACACGUGGAUAACCUACCUAUAAGACUGGGAUAACUUCGGGAAACCGGAGCUAAUACCGGAUAAUAUUUUGAACCGCAUGGUUCAAAAGUGAAAGACGGUCUUGCUGUCACUUAUAGAUGGAUCCGCGCUGCAUUAGCUAGUUGGUAAGGUAACGGCUUACCAAGGCAACGAUGCAUAGCCGACCUGAGAGGGUGAUCGGCCACACUGGAACUGAGACAAGGUCCAGACUCCUACGGGAGGCAGCAGUAGGGAAUCUUCCGCAAUGGGCGAAAGCCUGACGGAGCAACGCCGCGUGAGUGAUGAAGGUCUUCGGAUCGUAAAACUCUGUUAUUAGGGAAGAACAUAUGUGUAAGUAACUGUGCACAUCUUGGCGGUACCUAAUCAGAAAGCCACGGCUAACUACGUG